AUUGAACGCUGGCGGCAGGCCUAACACAUGCAAGUCGAACGAGUGGCGGACGGGUGAGUAAUGUCUGGGAAACUGCCUGCUGGAGGGGGAUAACUACUGGAAACGGUAGCUAAUACCGCAUACAAUCAGAUGUGCCCAGAUGGGAUUAGCUUGUUGGUGGGGUAACGGCUCACCAAGCCGACGAUCCCUAGCUGGUCUGAGAGGAUGACCAGCCACACUGGCACUGAGACACGGUCCAGAAUCCGACGGGAGGCAGCAGUGGGGAAGAUUGCACAAGGGGCGCAAGCCGGAUGCAGCCAUGCCGCGGGUAUGAAGAAGGCCGUCGGGUUGUAAAGUACUUUCAGCGGGGAGGCGUUACCCGCAGAAGAAGCACCGGCUAACUCCGUGCCAGCAGCCGCGGUAAUAC
This 406-nucleotide ribosomal RNA is filed under the name uncultured bacterium. Its description in RNAcentral is "partial 16S ribosomal RNA". It matches the Rfam family "Bacterial small subunit ribosomal RNA", at positions 29 to 526 of the family's 1533-position model. The record is from RNAcentral.